Molecule: long non-coding RNA, 8957 nt
Organism: Acinonyx jubatus (cheetah)
Lineage: Eukaryota; Metazoa; Chordata; Mammalia; Carnivora; Felidae
Exons: 3
Source: RefSeq, a predicted model, not a curated record
UCCAGUCUCUCCAGCACUUUUGUUUGCUUGUGUAUCAGUCAGACUGGGUUGAAUAGUGUUCCACCAAAUUAUAUCCACUUGGAACCUCAGGAUGUGCGCUCAGGUGGAAAUCGUUAGAUGUAAUCAGUUAGGAUCUGGAGAUCGGGGUUUAGAGUCGCUGGGAACCUGGUCCCUGGUUGCUUAUUGCUUCACUGUCCGUUGAAACUUGUUAGUGCCAAAGCCUACCAGUGCCAGACUCAAAUUUGUGCACACUCAGCAAUUUAAAACUAACAUGAACGUGCAGGUUUUUAGCCAUUGAGAGAUUGCCUACUUUUCAGACUGCACAGAACCUGACAGCUGUUACCCAUAGAUAAGACAGGUCCCAAGAUGCCGUGGUCCUUGGCGUUCUCUGAUCCAGAGCCCCCUCACCAGACUGCCGAGUCACCUCACCUAGACACGUAACCCUCUCUGAGCACCCAGGCCCUCCUGGCCACCCCAGGACAGGCUGGUGCUGUGAGGGACGCCCUGGCCUGCAAACCUGUCACGGUGUUGUCUUGUCUAAAUAACCUCACGUGAGCUGCCACCACUGUGUGGCCAUGGCUCCUUCCUGGAUCUGCCCCGAGAUGCCUGGACCCUUCACAGGCACAGACAGAGGCGGGGCCUGGGGUGGCCGGUCUGGCUCCCAGAAGCUGGAGGGAGGAAGGAGCCUCAGCCCAGGCAGCGCCUUGGUCUCCAUUCUGCUGUUGAGUUUUGGCAAUAGGGGAACACAGUUCUGUGGUUCUGAGCUGUUCGUAUGUGGUGAUUCAUCACGCAGCCCAGGGAUACCCACACACACGACCUUGCUCUCCACCCGUGCUGAGUCUCUGAUGUGCCCAGAGUUGUGGGGCUGGCGGCUGGCACGUUUUCACUGUAUUUAUAAGCACAAACAGGCCCCUGUUAGCAGGAAGCCGGGUACCUGUCCUGGGCCACAGAGCCUCGGCAGGGAGGCUGACUUGUCUCCCUCACACCAGAGACUGCCCCAAACGGAGCAUCCGUGCCUUGAUUCCUUCAGCAGAUGCGCACUGAGUGCCCCAUGCGUGCCCUGCACCGUGCUGGGCGUCAGAAGAGACCCCUGUCCUUUCUGGACAGUAACACGUGUACAAAACACAUCGACCUUGAGGGAGGCUGGAGGGGAGGUGGCCAGCCGACCAUAGGGCAGCUGAACAGAGAUACAGAAGGCUGUGCUGGAAGAAACAGGACACACGUGACAGGCGUGGAGGAGAAAACCGCGUCCGGCAUCCCAGGGCCACACGGCCUCUCCUGUCAAUGCUGUUAUUUACUCAGUGAUGGAUGGCCACCCUCCUCAGCCACUCCGCCAAGCCAAGCGGAAGAGUGCUGUCACGUGUGCUCCGUGUUCAGAAGGGAAGGCAGGAGCUGCCCGGCGGGACAUAACAAUUCAGGGGUUGGGGAAGGACCCCGAGACCAGCAGACAGGGUCCAUCACUCUGGCUGAUGAAACACUGGGGUGAAUAAUGAGAACCCCGAGGGGGUCAUGCAAGGCCACCUAAGGAACCAUUACAGAAUUCCUGGCAGUUUAUUUCCUGUCAUGGAUGUUUGCACAGACGGCUCUGGUACAACACCAUCAGGGUGUCAGAUAGUGGGAGUCACACAGGAUGAACCCUCUUUAGAUCGGCGCCCCUCGCUUAGUCAUACGCUGUCAAGUUUCCUCCGUGUGUUUUCAUGGCUUGUUAGCUCGUUUCUUUUUAUGGCCGAAUACUGUUCCACCGCCUGGAUGGACCAAGUUUGUUUAUCCAGCACCUACUGAAGGACAUCUUCGAUGCCUCCAAGUUUUGGCGAUUGUGAAUAAAACCACUAUACACAUCUGUGGGCAGGGUUUUGUACCAACACAGCUUUCAACUCAUUUGAGUAAACGUCAAGGGGCAUGGUGGCCGGGUCAUGUGGCGAGGGUACGUUUAGUCCUGUAGGAACCCACCAGACCGUCCUCCCGAGUGGCUGCCCCUGUCUGUGUGCCCGCCUGCCAUGCGUGAGAGACGCUGUGGCUCGACGUCCUCGCCAGCAUGUGCUGGUGUCGGGGGCCUGGGUUUGGGCCCUUCUAACAGGUGAGCAGUGUUGUCUCCUUGUCUGGAUUUGCACUUCCAGGUAACUGUUUUUUUUAAAUGUUAAUUUAUUUAUUUUGAGAGAACAUGAGUGGGGAGGGGCAGAGAGAGAGAGGGAGAGAGGGAAUCCCGGGCAGGCUCUGCACUGACAGCAUGGGGCCUGACGUGGGACUCAAACUCACAAGCCGUGGGCUGAAAUCAAGAGUCAGAUGCUUAACCGACUGAACCACCCAGGUGCCCCAGUCACUAAUUUUUGACUGUACAGUUUACUUUUGUGGGCUCUUAGCUGGCUGGGAAACUCUAACCACAGAUCACGUCUUUGUUUUUCUAUUUCUAAAGGACAGGAUACAGGGAGAGCAUGGGGUUCAUAGUCUUCUCCAGCUUUUUAUUUUCUCAGCCUCAGAAGAGUUUAUGAAAGUGAUUUUCUAGAGCCAGUAGAUGUGGCUUCUUGUAAGAUGGUUUUGGCCAGGAUCAGAUUUUAUCAGACCCACAGACCGAGAUAUCCUAGAGGGAAAACAAAAUGGGCAAUAAUUCCAUACAAUGAGGUUCCUUUACUAACGGAUAUUUAGACUGUACUACAUUCACUUCCUCCCCUAUAGUAAACAAUGUAGUUUUCACUUGAGGGAAUGAAGUUUUGGGUUGCUUCUGGGAAGUUCAGGACUCUGUACUCACAGGGCGAUCAACAGUCACCAUCACUUUGAAGGUACUGAGCAAUGAACUUGAUUAAAAACAAAAUGGUGCCACUGCCUAAAUAGUGUGUGGUUGAUCUCAGCCUCGUCUUGACUAUUCAAUCUUACUUUCACUUACAGACCCCCCCGCCCCCGCACCCCUGCACAGCCAUCACUGGGCAUGUGCUGAAGGUGAUCCCUGCGCUGCAUGAGGCAUGAUUAGUGGACCAGGGUUCAUCCCUGGGACAGGGAUUCUGCGAGGCUGGUCAGUUAGACUCUCGGGGGUGGUCAUGGGGGGCGAUAAAUUUAGCUGCAAGAAGCGGUGAUGCUCUUUGGCUUGUUUCUGGCUUAGAUUUAGAAUUUGAGAAGUUUUGUGAAAUGUACCAGGACCAAUGCCUGCCAUGCCAACCGCAGGGAUUUCAGUCAGAUUGCACGUUACUCUUUGUUGCUAAGUGUUGGCAUUCAUGGUUUCGGGUCUGGAAACUGAAGUCUUCAGUUCCAGUCUCCAGGCAGCCCACGGCCCAGUGGUCAGCCUAGAUUUGGGGCCGUUGGGGAGGGUUUUGUCUGUGGUGGAGUCCGCCCUCCUCCUGUCUCACAUGGUGCCCUCAGGGCGCUCCCGCUUUGAGUAAGACGUUGCUCGUCCUUCCACUGCUUCCUUCUGCAGAUUUGGACUUGCUCCUGCCUGUCUGAUUUCAGAUGCUUCGUUCUGCUUGGGAUUUCCAGCUGUGGCUCCUUCUGUCCUCUGCACAGUGGUUUAAUUUCUGUCGGUUUUUGUUCUCGUCUUAACUCCGUGUGUUCCCGUGAUCAGCUUGCACCCUUACUUCUCCGUGUUAGCCUGCUUCUUAAUCCUUGCUUCCAGAGAGCCCGCCGUGAUUUCUCGCUGCCUCAUUCAUGCCGCACCUGCUUACUGCGGCUGGCUCGGGGACAAGUAUGAUCCAGGGACGGGGUGCACACAGAGACUAGAAUGACUGCCGGUUUCUACAGUGCCCCGCGAGGAGACACGUUCCUGGAUGCUAAGACUCCCCACUUCUAUGAGAGUGGCCUCAAUGGGGUGUUGUCUGCAUCAGAUGUUAAACACUUCUGAUAAACUACAGACGCCUAAGAACCAGUGUGGAAAGAAAGGCCUUCUUGUCUGUGUGUAAGGAUCUGCUGCCUAAGUUAAAUUAUGAACCUAGCUAGCAGGUGCCACUGAAGCCCACUGUGUGCCCGGCCUGCUGGGAACAGGGCUAACCUGGUGCCGGGCUGAUGGGACUUCUCCGCCAGGCUGGGGACCCCUCUCCUGGCAGCUCCUGGUGGCCCCUCUUGGUGGACAGGAGGGAGGGGCAGGGCUCUCUCUGGGUCCAGCCCCUGCCCUCCUCAGGAAGUCAGGGAAGGAGGAGACACAACUAUAAAGAGGAGAAAGACCUUUUAGUCACUUGAAUUAAAAGGGAUUGAGGUUCAUGGUUGAAUGUUGAACUAUAUGAAUCUGGCCGUAGUUGACUUCUGAGCUUGGUAAUGUCACAUACUUGAACCUAAUCCCUUAGACAAGUGCUCUGAAGUAGAUGUGGGUUUUAGUUACUCAGGCGAGGUCUACACCAGUCCUCCAACAGUGUAGACUUGCCGGGAAGGCCUGCAAAGGAAGGCAAGUGCCCUGUGGCGGUGGAGGCCGGACGAAGGGUGACCACGGGCCAAAAGAUCUGCACUAAGUCUGUGCUUUGCCGUUACCCACCCGUGUCCGUGGGCAGGUGUGGCCGCCUGUCCAGUGCCUUCCGUAAAGAGAGGAAGGGGGAGGCUCGAGGGUGGAGAGGGGGCAGACCGCACACUGGCCUGGAGCUGCCUGCCACCAGCCUGUCCAGCUCCAACUUGGCUCUGGCCGAGCUCUGGCGUUUCUGGUGUGCAGUUUGGCCUGGGGCGGCCACACGGAGCUGCCUGGGCCAGAGUCCCCGGGGCCUUGGUCAUGAGCGCAGUCUGUGCGCAUUGUUGGCAUGCCUCCUUUUGCACACUGAGACACCAGGCCCGGUGCCCCGGGGCGGCCCUGCAGGGACGGCUGUGUGCCUGUACCUGGCGUUGGGCCAGAGGCACAGGGGCUGCUGGUGGGGGCUGGGCUCACAAGGGCGCCCCGAGGAGCCUCUGUGAUUCGCUCACCCCCAGGUGUCCCUCCAAGGUCCUUGUAGCUCUUUCGUCUGCAGGAAUGUGUGUGAGGCUGGCCCUGCACAAUAGCAGGUGCCCGGCAAGGAUGCAUCCGCGCUGGCCCCGCCCUGCCCCGGGGACUGUCCCCUCCCUGCCAAGACGGAAGCCAAGUUAAAUGAAUUUCUUUCUGGAGCCAAUGGGCCGGAUCUUAAGCCUUCCUGAGAACUGAAGUGUAAUUUAAGAAACUGGAAGAAAUUAUUGAGUUGGUGUCCUAAUCCCCCGAGAGUCUCCUUGCGCACUCCACUGAGCAGCCUAAUCCCCGCUGGUGCCUCGACCCCGGUGGAAUCCUUAAUUACCAGAAUCUCAUUUCCGCUUCGUGGGCUACCUGAGUAGCAUCUGUCGCUCAAAUAAACUCAUGUGAAAAUAAAGUAUUAAAAUCAAUAAUUCAACUCGGGGGUGAAAUGGAACAGAAAACUAACUGCAGCCUGCAUGCCAGAUUCCUGGGUGGCCCUCGCGAAGCUCUGACCUCUGCUCUCUGCGUCUUCCGCAGGGGUGGCGGUGUGCGUUUUGGCAUCUGCACUGUCUGGAAACAGGGACAGCCGCCUUCUUACAGGACCGGGCCCAGUCCCCGGGAGAGGCGCUGGCCACUGUCCCCUGUGGGUCAGGGGUCACCUCUAGGAGGGGCCACGCAGGUCCAGGAACUUCUCUUAUCUGUUUCCAUCCUGAUGACAUCUGAACUGGUCUGAAAGGCCACCUUCUCUGGGAUGUCUCUCCGGAUUACCCUGAGUACCCGUCUCUGUAGGCUCAUGAAAAGCACCAAGGGUUAUCAGUUGCUUGUCAUUUUGUGUAGUGCUGUGAUAGGCACGUGACUGCCUCUCCGAGUCAUCCCAGAGGAAAGGACACGGCUGGUGUGUGGCCUCCCAGACUUGCGUGGCCCCUUCUUAUCUGCGAGGGAGUGAUCUGACCUGCACACACCAGGGAACAUCUGUGUGCAGGAGGCCGGUCUGUUUCUGCCCCACCUGGGUUUGUGUGUGUGGGGGGCAGGGAACACAGUGAGGUGCCCUGGGCCCCAUCAAGUCGGGACCCACGCUCACCAGGCAGUGACCAGACGGUGUCACUCAUGAGGGCUUAUCCCCAAAGUGUGGGGGGAGGUCGCAGAAACAGGCAUCCCCAUACCCAGCAGGGGGACCCCACCCCAGCAGGGACGGUCACGGUUUUAGUGACUGCUUUCUGGGAAGGAAGGCCAGCUGUGGAUGGCUGGUGCCAGGUUUCCCUCCCUCCAGGAAGGAGGCGAAGCUGGGCAGCGGGGAGCGAGGAGGCCUCAGCUACACAGGCCAAAGGCAUUGUGCAAAUCUUGUGCAGCAACGUAUGGUCAUGUCACUUCCUUUCUGAGUCUGCAGAAGUCCCCAAAUGCCCGUGGCUACCCUGCCGACCUCCACCCCAUCUCUCUCCAGCCAGCACAGGCCACUGGGGGCCACAGCACUGGUCUUUGGCUAACUGGUAAGGUUUCUGGAGUCCUCAGGUCUGGAAAGCAGUCAUUUGGAAUGUUCCACGGGUGAUUCAGCAUCGACUGACGAAGGGGGAGACGGUCUGUGAAGCCCAAACAUGUGGUCGUGAGGGGCUGGGACGCUGGUGAUUUGGGGUUCCCGCUGUCGCCAGCCUGACGCUCUAGAGUCUCACCUGCCCCCUCCCCCACUUUGUACCCGGUGCAGCUGUGGUCAUUACAGGAACCACACCCAGACCAUCCGCACCUGCCUGUCCACACAGCCGGAAAUCUGAACACGCUCCAAGCAGCCGAGGUUCUCACUGAUGCCCCCCUUCCAGCCACAGCACCCCCCCACCCCCACACCACCUCAGUUCACAGGAGGAGAAAUCCCAGACGGAACACAGCUUGCAAGAUGUCACCUCACCUCCCAGGUUCCCCCAGCUGGGCCCAAUGGGUGACGGGCUCACGUCUUAGCCCAGCUGCACUGCCGAGCCCUUCCUGCCUCGUCCCCCUGCACCGCCCCCAGGGCCCCUUCCCCAGGCUGCCCACACCCUCCCUCCAUCUCCCUCCACCAGCCUGUGGUUAGCAGGGCCGUGAACGCCAGCACGCUGUGUGCAGAGUACAGAUCCUCCUGGUAUCUGAGGUCUCUGGGACGCAGGGUCUGUCUACACCCGCUGAGACAGGCCUCCCUACAAGGCAUUUCCAUCAGCACGCAAACAGAAAUGGGAAACAAUGGGAAUUUCUCCCAGAUAACGGAAAGGGUCAGCGUUUCUCCAGGAGCAACCACACCACCAAGCCUUGGGUGGCUCUGUGCUGGGCUGCUUUGCUGUCGUGGGGACCAGCGUAAACUUGAUGGGCCUCUUUUGCUCCUUGGUUAUUUCACUGUUGGUACAACAUUUUCUAGACUAGAGUUCAUCCCACUUCAGGGGGAGAGGGGAAAGGAAUGUCUGCCCCAGAAAGACUUGGGGUGGGGCUCGCGCCGGCUCCUUGGCCGUGCUGUUACUCCAGGCGCCACAGCCACGCUCACCAUGAGAAAGGGGGGGCAUUGGAGUCCUCCUCCCCACCUCCCUGCCUCGGCGGCCGCAGGUGCAACCCUCUGCUGAGGAGGUCUGGGGCGGGCGGGGGCUCGACAGCAGGGUCCAUGGGCACCGGCUAAGCAGCAGGCGUGGGGGUAUGAGGAAAGUCUGCCCAGCCCGCUCGCCGCUUCCUCAGGUUUGCUGACUGCUGCUCAGGGCGCACGCCUGGGUGAGCGCCAAGCCCUCGCUGCCUUGUUGGCAUGGCUCCAGCUCUUGAGCCCCCCCCCCCCCCCCCCCGGCCAGCCAUGCAUCAUGGAAUAUUGAUACGGUUCCUCCAGACUUCUGCACCUGACAUUUGAUUUAUAGCUUUAGGUGUUCUUUUUAAUUCUAAACACUCGAUAGAGGAUCAAAGGAAAUGUCAUAUUUGCAGCGUUUAAGCCCAGAGUGACACCUCGGCAGCCAGAAGGGGGGGGCCGCCCGAGGUGGCUUUUGCCAGCGGCCUCUUCCCUGCCUACCAUCCUGGGGUUCAGAGUGCCCCGUGCUUAGGCUGACACCCCUCCUCUGUGCCCCCAACACUUCAAAUAUUUAUCACAUUAUAUAGCAACCUCCAGAAUAUUGCCUUCAUUUAAGCUUUUCACGUCCCAAUGAUUUUUUAUUAUUUCCAUCGACCAAAAUAAAUGAAGAAAUGUUUUAGACUACACUUGAAAGCAUGUAAAAAUCAAUAACUGGAUUUUAAAAGAUUUAAAAUGUCUUGAAUACAUUCAUUUUCAAACAUUUUCCUCUGAUCUUUAAAUAGCUUUUCUUGGAGCAUAACAUUUUUUUGAAAAGUCAAAUAUGGAGCAUUAAGGGUAUAAUUACCAUUUUAAUUAUAACUCAAUCAUCCUAUCUGCUUUGCAUAGAAAUUAAAGCUUUUAUGUCAGGAUUUGGGGCACUCACAAAUGUUCAGGAGCAAUUAAUGUUAAAAGUUUAAUUUUUUUCACAACCAGGAUGAACUUUAGAGUUCCUAAUUUUGUUCUUGCUCAGAGUGGAAAGCGUGGAUGCUCCCCCUUGUCACUUGUCGCUGAAGUAAAUCCCUUCCCACUGGUGACUUGGUUUGGUGUCCAAGGAAGCACAAUGGCAGAGUUGCAGCUCUGCCCCUGGACAUGGGGCCCGGCUGGAGUGACAGCCCCUCAUCUGUGGGACUGUGCGUGUGCAAGCUGCGGGAGGCCUGGGGGUCCAUGGCCUGUGCUCACCUUAGGCUUGCAGGAGCCCCUCUCUGCUGUAGGAUCUAGAAUAGUCCCUGCCACUCAGGGGUGUGACUUUGCCUUCUGCCCCCAAACGGUAGCACCUUUCAAUCCUGUAGGUUCAAGAGGCAGGGACUGUUUUUAUGACAUAGCAAACCAGUACCCAGCCUGAUGACGCUUGGGCUUAUGGGAAGUAACACUGGCUGCAGACCCACUGGAGUUCAUGGCACUUAGCCCUGAAAAAGAAAUGUUAAAUGAUGGAUUUCCCAUCGUUUUGCUGCAAAUGACUGAUGUGCUCCACUGCUGGCUCCUGGGGCCCAGGCUGCAGGUGUUUGAGUACACAUGUGCACAUGUGCAGAUACGUGCACGUGUGUACCCGCG